AUUUAUUCUAAGAUCAAAGUUGUCCUAGUUCAAGUCUCUCUGCUCGCAGAAAUGAUUUUACAUUAGCAAAUUAUUUUACUGUUUUUGUAGUGAUUCUCAGAUGUGUUUUUCUGUUCUCUGACUGCAGGAGGUGAUUGCUGAAGACCAGGGAAAUAUUUUGGCUGAGUCAAAGCUAGAUCAGAAAUCUGCUUCACCUAAAACAGAGGAGUAUCUCACUGGUGAAAGACUGAUCCAGCUGAGAUUUGAUCCCUCACUGUUAUUUGAAUUUUGCUGUAAAUCCCCCGCUCAAUGGUGGCUGAAGGAUCUGGUGUGCAGAGCUUGAAGAACCAAUUUAUAAGGUAACUUACUGAUUUCUGCAUUUUUGGCUUAUAACUGCUAUAUGAGGAUUUGUUUUCCUGCAUAAAAACAUUUCUGUGCUUGUUCUCUCUAAUGAAGUUUUUGUCAUCUUGUUCAUAAAAUGACUCUCAUAUCAAAAAGCUU
This 480-nucleotide long non-coding RNA is filed under the name Parus major (Great Tit). Its description in RNAcentral is "lncRNA (ENSPMJG00000000490.1)". Lineage: Eukaryota; Metazoa; Chordata; Aves; Passeriformes; Paridae. The record is from RNAcentral.